RNAcentral lists this transfer RNA (76 nucleotides) under Vibrio parahaemolyticus. RNAcentral describes it as "tRNA-Gly". It matches the Rfam family "tRNA". Rfam says of the family: Transfer RNA (tRNA) molecules are approximately 80 nucleotides in length. Their secondary structure includes four short double-helical elements and three loops (D, anti-codon, and T loops). The record is from RNAcentral. Lineage: Bacteria; Pseudomonadati; Pseudomonadota; Gammaproteobacteria; Vibrionales; Vibrionaceae. RNAcentral also lists the same sequence under 1 other name.
GCGACACUAGCUCAGUUGGUAGAGCGCAACCUUGCCAAGGUUGAGGUCACGAGUUAGAACCUCGUGUGUCGCUCCA